UUGGCUGCUACUUCCUCUCUUGAAUCAGGAUAAUCGAUGCCAGGAUAACCAUACCACCGAACACGAUAGUUUCAAUGAUAUCACAGCAUUCAUUAACAACUAGGUUUUUAAUAAAAGUGAACUGGCCUUUUGCAGAAGUGAGCAUUUCACAUUUAAGUUAAACCUUUUCUGAUCCCUGGUUGUCGUUUAGGAGAAAGAGAUAGAGAAGCAGGAGGAUCACAGCGCCUUGUCUCAGGACGAGGACGUUAGGGAAAGGAGCCAUAGAGGCGCCGCCGAUGGACCACUGUCUGCACCUCUGCUUCCUGCAAAUCUUAAAUGGAGUGACUUGAUUGAAGCCUCGUUAUCUCCAGAAACCACACCCACCCUGGAGCUGGAGAAAAAGCGUGGCUUCGAGGAACGGGGAGACUGCAAGCCGGAGAUCGACACGACUCCAGUGCGACAGCGAACUCGGCGCAGGAGGGCAGGGCGAGUACGAGCGGAUGCGGCUAAGGAAAAUGAGAAAAUUGAUUGUGUUCAAAAGGAAAAGAAAAAAGAGAAGCAGUUUCCCAAACUCCAACGAAACAGUCAGCCUCAGCGCAGGAGCCGUAGACGGAGACUUAAAAAGAUCCCUGCGUGAUUUAUUUAAACAGGAAGUGGAUGAGAAGAUUUUACCGCUGUGUCCAGGAAGUGAAUGAGCAUAAAAAAUAUUAAUAAAAAAAAAUUCACCCAGAUGAAUGUUCUUUGUAUUUUUCAAAAGAAAAGCAGAUGAUAAAAUGGUAACUGAGAGAUUAUUAAGCUACUGAAGCUAAUGGA
This is a long non-coding RNA of Clarias gariepinus (North African catfish), 792 nucleotides long. RefSeq lists it as uncharacterized. NCBI's taxonomy places the organism in Eukaryota, Metazoa, Chordata, Actinopteri, Siluriformes, Clariidae. The transcript is spliced from 5 exons. The record is from RefSeq and is a predicted model, not a curated record.